ACGCUAGCUACAGGCUUAACACAUGCAAGUCGAGGGGCAGCAUGGUCUUAGCUUGCUAAGGCCGAUGGCGACCGGCGCACGGGUGAGUAACACGUAUCCAACCUGCCGUCUACUCUUGGACAGCCUUCUGAAAGGAAGAUUAAUACAAGAUGGCAUCAUGAGUCCGCAUGUUCACAUGAUUAAAGGUAUUCCGGUAGACGAUGGGGAUGCGUUCCAUUAGAUAGUAGGCGGGGUAACGGCCCACCUAGUCUUCGAUGGAUAGGGGUUCUGAGAGGAAGGUCCCCCACAUUGGAACUGAGACACGGUCCAAACUCCUACGGGAGGCAGCAGUGAGGAAUAUUGGUCAAUGGGCGAGAGCCUGAACCAGCCAAGUAGCGUGAAGGAUGACUGCCCUAUGGGUUGUAAACUUCUUUUAUAAAGGAAUAAAGUCGGGUAUGCAUACCCGUUUGCAUGUACUUUAUGAAUAAGGAUCGGCUAACUCCGUGCCAGCAGCCGCGGUAACACGGAGGAUCCGAGCGUUAUCCGGAUUUAUUGGGUUUAAAGGGAGCGUAGAUGGAUGUUUAAGUCAGUUGUGAAAGUUUGCGGCUCAACCGUAAAAUUGCAGUUGAUACUGGAUAUCUUGAGUGCAGUUGAGGCAGGCGGAAUUCGUGGUGUAGCGGUGAAAUGCUUAGAUAUCACGAAGAACUCCGAUUGCGAAGGCAGCCUGCUAAGCUGCAACUGACAUUGAGGCUCGAAAGUGUGGGUAUCAAACAGGAUUAGAUACCCUGGUAGUCCACACGGUAAACGAUGAAUACUCGCUGUUUGCGAUAUACGGCAAGCGGCCAAGCGAAAGCGUUAAGUAUUCCACCUGGGGAGUACGCCGGCAACGGUGAAACUCAAAGGAAUUGACGGGGGCCCGCACAAGCGGAGGAACAUGUGGUUUAAUUCGAUGAUACGCGAGGAACCUUACCCGGGCUUAAAUUGCAGAUGAAUUACGGUGAAAGCCGUAAGCCGCAAGGCAUCUGUGAAGGUGCUGCAUGGUUGUCGUCAGCUCGUGCCGUGAGGUGUCGGCUUAAGUGCCAUAACGAGCGCAACCCUUGUUGUCAGUUACUAACAGGUUCCGCUGAGGACUCUGACAAGACUGCCAUCGUAAGAUGUGAGGAAGGUGGGGAUGACGUCAAAUCAGCACGGCCCUUACGUCCGGGGCUACACACGUGUUACAAUGGGGGGUACAGAGGGCCGCUACCACGCGAGUGGAUGCCAAUCCCCAAAACCUCUCUCAGUUCGGACUGGAGUCUGCAACCCGACUCCACGAAGCUGGAUUCGCUAGUAAUCGCGCAUCAGCCACGGCGCGGUGAAUACGUUCCCGGGCCUUGUACACACCGCCCGUCAAGCCAUGGGAGCCGGGGGUGCCUGAAGUGCGUAACCGCGAGGAGCGCCCUAGGGUAAAACUGGAGAC
This 1438-nucleotide ribosomal RNA is filed under the name uncultured organism. RNAcentral describes it as "SSU rRNA". It matches the Rfam family "Bacterial small subunit ribosomal RNA". The record is from RNAcentral.